Molecule: microRNA precursor, 279 nt
Filed under: Medicago truncatula (barrel medic)
Lineage: Eukaryota; Viridiplantae; Streptophyta; Magnoliopsida; Fabales; Fabaceae
Description: MIR2655 microRNA precursor family
Rfam family: MIR2655 microRNA precursor family
Source: Rfam by way of RNAcentral
CCCUUAACUGUUAAAAGUUUCGUUUUGGUCCUUUAACUUACUUUUUGGUUUCGUUUUGGUCCCUUAACUCUUCCUCCGUCAACCACUUUGGUCGUUUAUGUUAGGAUGAAUGUAUUAGAGUUAAGGGACCAAAAUGAAAUCAAAAAAUAAGUUAAGGGACCAAAACGAAACCAAAAAAUAAGUUAAGGGACCAAAACGAAACUUUUAAUAGUUAAGGGACCAAAAGAAAACCCAAAAAUAAGUUAUUGGACCGAAACGAAACUUUUAAUAGUUAAGGAA